GGGGAUGUAUUGAUUCGAUAAAGAUGUAUCUUGAACUGGCGAGCCGAUGGCUCCGCCGUAAACGGGGCAAAACUUAUAACUGCCAACUCUAAUCGAGUUACAGCUCCGAGCUUAGCUUACGCUUAGCUCGGGAUCGGCUGGCUUGGGUCUCUUAGGCUAAGUCCGGUCUUAUACAAGGAGACUCGUUCCGUGCCGACGAUUCUACGCACGGGGCUAAAUAUAGAAUCUUUAACCGUUAGCGGUUAGACUACGGCCAGCUGAGCUGGCCUACGCUCGUAGAAGGUUCAACGAUUUCAUUUUUACACGCGGGCUCAUUACCCGCCAUCUCCACCG
RNAcentral lists this transfer-messenger RNA (333 nucleotides) under Candidatus Ryanbacteria bacterium RIFCSPLOWO2_01_FULL_48_26. It matches the Rfam family "transfer-messenger RNA". From Rfam's summary of the family: Bacterial tmRNA, also known as 10Sa RNA or SsrA, is named for its dual tRNA and mRNA-like properties. Its role is to liberate the mRNA from a stalled ribosome. Lineage: Bacteria; Candidatus Ryaniibacteriota. The record is from RNAcentral. RNAcentral also lists the same sequence under 1 other name.